UACGUAGGGUGCGAGCGUUGUCCGGAAUUACUGGGUAUAAAGGGUGCGUAGGCGGGCUACUGCGUCGGGGGUUAAAUAUCUCGGCUUAACCGAGGGGAUGCCUUCGAAACGAGUAGUCUUGAAUAUGAGAGAGGAUGAUAGAAUUCCUGGUGUAGCGGUGAAAUGCGUAGAUAUCAGGAGGAAUACCGGUGGCGAAGGCGGUCAUCUGGCUCAUAAUUGACGCUGAGGCACGAAAGCGUGGGGAUCAAACAGGAUUAGAUACC
This 263-nucleotide ribosomal RNA is filed under the name uncultured bacterium. RNAcentral's name for it is "partial 16S ribosomal RNA". It matches the Rfam family "Bacterial small subunit ribosomal RNA", at positions 524 to 786 of the family's 1533-position model. The record is from RNAcentral.